CCUACGGGUGACAGCAGUGGGGGAUAUUGCACAAUGGGCGGAACUCUGAUCCAGCGAUGCCGCGUGGGUGAAGAAGCCCCUCUGCGUGUUAAGCCCUGUUAGCAGGGAGGAAAACCACGGUACCUGUAUUCGACUGCCCGGCUAAUUCCGUUCCAGCAGCCGCGGUUAUACGCAGGGGGCAAGGGUUAUCCGGAUUUACUGGGUGUAAUGGGGGCGCAGACGGAGAUGCAAGUCAGUGGUGAAAGGCCCGGGCUCAACCCCGGAACUGCUCUUAGAACUGCGGAGCUAGAGUGCAGGCGGGGCAGGCGGAAUGCCUGGUGUAGCGGUGAAAUGCGUAGAGAUCAGACAGAACACCGAUUGCGAAGGCAGCCUACUAAGCUACAACUGACGUUGAGGCCCGAAAGCGUGGGGAGCAAACAGGAUUAGAUACCCCAGUAGUC
RNAcentral lists this ribosomal RNA (440 nucleotides) under uncultured bacterium. Its description in RNAcentral is "partial 16S ribosomal RNA". It matches the Rfam family "Bacterial small subunit ribosomal RNA", at positions 338 to 795 of the family's 1533-position model. The record is from RNAcentral.